UACGUAGGGAGCAAGCGUUGUCCGGAUUUACUGGGUGUAAAGGGUGCGUAGGCGGGCUGGCAAGUCAGGCGUGAAAUACCGGGGCUCAACCCCGGGGCUGCGUUUGAAACUGCUGGUCUUGAGUGAGGUAGAGGCAGGCGGAAUUCCUAGUGUAGCGGUGAAAUGCGUAGAUAUUAGGAGGAACACCAGUGGCGAAGGCGGCCUGCUGGGCCUUAACUGACGCUGAUGCACGAAAGCGUGGGGAGCAAACAGG
This 253-nucleotide ribosomal RNA is filed under the name uncultured bacterium. Its description in RNAcentral is "partial 16S ribosomal RNA". It matches the Rfam family "Bacterial small subunit ribosomal RNA", at positions 524 to 776 of the family's 1533-position model. The record is from RNAcentral.